Long non-coding RNA from Scylla paramamosain (green mud crab), 540 nucleotides. RefSeq lists it as uncharacterized. The transcript is spliced from 3 exons. NCBI's taxonomy places the organism in Eukaryota, Metazoa, Arthropoda, Malacostraca, Decapoda, Portunidae. The record is from RefSeq and is a predicted model, not a curated record.
CAAUGCUUGUCUUUCUCGCCUGAGUCGUUGACGUGCAAGGACGUCUCGUUGUUCUUCUCCUGUGACCAGAGGUGUACUCUGUCGUUAAGGCCGUGGGUGGUGCACAUGUGCCGGACAGCCAGCUGAUGGGCGCCAGACUGUAAUGGUGAUCAGCCGGCUGCUACUGCCACCAGAGCCGGUGAGGCCAUGAACUGCUCCUCUCUGCCGCCUCCAGAUGGACCAUCUGCCCUUCGACCACAUCUGAAGAGACAACUAGUGGGCCGUGUUUGGUGAACCCGUUUUGUCUGUCAGAGCCACCCCUACAGCCACACACCACCACCACCACCACAACUAGCAGGAGAGGGCAUCCACCACCUCUUCCUCCAGCAGCUGGCCAGGGCACAGGACCAGGCUGAGCAAGCAGGUGGUGAUGCAGAGGGUGGCCAGCUUGCCCGCCCCCUCCUGUUGGCCAGCCACAGCACAGCACACAGCUGCAGUCUGUUGCGGCCAGGCUACUGAGGCACAAGUCUAUGCACGCGUCCGGGACAUGAAGGUGACGAG